This 879-nucleotide long non-coding RNA is filed under the name Ornithorhynchus anatinus (platypus). Its description in RNAcentral is "lncRNA (ENSOANG00000046735.1)". The record is from RNAcentral. Lineage: Eukaryota; Metazoa; Chordata; Mammalia; Monotremata; Ornithorhynchidae.
GGGCACUGAUGAGCAAAGGCAGAGCCAAAGGCUAAACUAGCAGGAGGAUGCCAAAGUUCCUGACAUUGGACUGAGUAGCGAAGGGAAGGCGUUCAGGAAAACAAGGGGGGAAUAUUACCCCAGCCCCCUCUAAAGGGGGAGUACCGAGAAUGAAAGAAUAGUUAAAACUGAGAAUUACCUGGAGUUGAGAACCUUCUAAAUUCUCUCCAGGAGGAUAUUUUCCCCAGAAGAAACCCAAGAGGAGGAUUCUAUAAACUGGAAGAGCCCUAAGGAAGGAGACCACUGAUUUAUCAUGGGAGCUGGUGUUCUGGUGAAAGGUCUUAUCCAAGAGGAGCAACCAAAUGGACUGGCCUAUGGAAAUGAGCCAAAGGGGCCAACUGCAGAGUUGCUGAGCUGUUAUCUGAGGGGGACUUACACAAGGCUGAGCUCCGCUUACCAGCUGAGGAUACAACACAGAGAGACACCGUCGACUUAUUUGUUCUGAGAAAAUCCAAACUUCAAUCCAUUUUGAAGGACAUCAUUGACCUUGCCUCUUUACAUCUCAUUUACCUUAGGUUUAGUCAGCAGUGGUCGAAGGCCACAGAUUACUACUUCCAGGGUAGGAGUUCCCUAAGCUGGGGGGAGUAGGAUGACUUUUGUCAUUUCCAUCUUGCCCAUGGAAAUUCUAAAAGUUCAGAACUGCAGACGGUUGUUUCUUGUGCUGGAAUCUCAGGGAUGAACGAAUCUCUCCUUUUAAGGAUGCAAAUAAGGGAAUUCUAAGUGAGAGGUCGAUGAGUGAUUCUGACUUCUUCAUGCACUGAUUCCAUUUUACUUUACACCAAUGUCGAACUCCGAAAUUUCCCAUCACCAUGGAGCACUCCCUUAGCUGCUGAAACCCGG